GUUUUGUUGUUGUUAAUUUGCAGGCUGCUGAUGGAAUUUCAUUCCUUUGACUUCUAGAUUUCUUGUUAAGAGCUGCUCCCUAAGAAGAAUACUAUAAGGACAGGUGACCACGUUGGCAGAACCAAGGGGUGUAGGCACAGCACGCAAAGUCUGCAGAUAGCCAGCCUACCCUGAAGCUCACGAGCAACCUCCUGGAAAGAUGCGUCAGUGGUAGAAAGAUGGCUCUGCUGAGAUGAGCUCUUAAUUAAUGCACUGAGAGGCUGCGAGUCCCACCUCUCAACAGGAAUGAUUGACGUCCAAGGAUACAUAAAUUACACUAAUUGAGCUCUGCCUCUACAUAGGUUUUCCACAGCCAACUCAUCAGAGAAGCUAGGCUUGAAUCACAACCAAUACCUUUGCUUGUCAGCUCUAAUGAGGAGACAACCACAACAUUGAGAGAGCACACACCUUUUUGGUAAGUAGCAUAUAAAUUUCUAAAUCUGAUGAUAAACACAAAGCUAAUGUUUAUGCUCCCAUUUUAUUCAAAUCCCUAUUUAAUAAACAUUUUAGAUGUUCACUUAUAUUUUC
Molecule: non-coding RNA, 567 nt
Organism: Microcebus murinus (gray mouse lemur)
Lineage: Eukaryota; Metazoa; Chordata; Mammalia; Primates; Cheirogaleidae
Source: RefSeq, a predicted model, not a curated record